This is a non-coding RNA of Pelobates cultripes (western spadefoot toad), 216 nucleotides long. The record is from the annotation of a GenBank genome assembly. Lineage: Eukaryota; Metazoa; Chordata; Amphibia; Anura; Pelobatidae.
CCCUCGUGCAGUACUCACACUCACCCCUGUUUCUGUUUGGCACUGUUUCUCAUUUCUUUUCCUUAAGCACUACACCUGGCCCUUGUUUAGCACCUAUAUAUUCUGGUUUCUCCCCUCACUCCCUGUCAGAUCAUUAUCCUUCAUCCUUUAUCCUGUACCUGCUGUUUCCUGGUUCCCGUGAUUCUGACUGCUUGCUCCUGUGUCUUGUAUCCUCUG